This 71-nucleotide transfer RNA is filed under the name Myotis brandtii (Brandt's bat). It matches the Rfam family "tRNA". Rfam says of the family: Transfer RNA (tRNA) molecules are approximately 80 nucleotides in length. Their secondary structure includes four short double-helical elements and three loops (D, anti-codon, and T loops). The record is from Rfam by way of RNAcentral. Lineage: Eukaryota; Metazoa; Chordata; Mammalia; Chiroptera; Vespertilionidae.
GCCGGCGUGGCUCAGGGGUGGAGCGUCGGGCUAUGAACCAGGAGGUCUCGGUUCCAUUCCGGUCGAGGGCA